Molecule: ribosomal RNA, 297 nt
Filed under: Bradyrhizobium elkanii
Lineage: Bacteria; Pseudomonadati; Pseudomonadota; Alphaproteobacteria; Hyphomicrobiales; Nitrobacteraceae
Description: partial 23S ribosomal RNA
Rfam family: Bacterial large subunit ribosomal RNA
Source: RNAcentral
AAUCAAGUGCCUUAAGGGUGUUCGGUGGAUGCCUUGGCGCUGAGAGGCGAUGAAGGACGUGCUACGCUGCGAUAAGCCGUGGGGAGCUGCGAAGAAGCUUUGAUCCGCGGAUUUCCGAAUGGGGAAACCCACCUUCGAUAGCCGGAACUCCAAGACCUUGUGUGUUGGGGUUCGACCAGAAAUGCGAGAAAUCAAACCGCGAGGUUUUGGAUUUCCGGUUAUCAAGAGAAGGUAUGAGACCCCCGAAUAAAAUAGGAGGUUUUAAGCAAACCCAGGGAACUGAAACAUCUAAGUACC